CCUACGGGAGGCUGCAGUGGGGAAUAUUGCACAAUGGGGGAAACCCUGAUGCAGCAACGCCGCGUGAGUGAAGAAGUCUUUCGGUAUGUAAAGCUCUAUCAGCAGGGAAGAAAAUGACAGUACCUGACUAAGACGCCCCGGCCAACUACGUGCCAGCAGCCGCGGUCAUACGUAGGGGGCAAGCGUUAUCCGGAUUUACUGGGUGUAAAGGGAGCGUAGACGGGGAUGCAAGUCUGAAGUGAAAGGCGGGGGCCCAACCCCCGGACUGCUUUUGAGACUGUAUGGCUGGAGUGCAGGAGAGGUAGGUGGAAUUCCUGGUGUAGCGGUGAAAUGCGUAGAUAUUAGGAGGAACACCGGUGGCGAAGGCAGCUUACUGGACUGUAACUGACGUUGAGGCUCGAAAGCGUGGGGAGCAAACAGGAUUAGAUACCCGGGUAGUC
RNAcentral lists this ribosomal RNA (440 nucleotides) under uncultured bacterium. RNAcentral's name for it is "partial 16S ribosomal RNA". It matches the Rfam family "Bacterial small subunit ribosomal RNA", at positions 338 to 795 of the family's 1533-position model. The record is from RNAcentral.